Molecule: long non-coding RNA, 223 nt
Filed under: Elaeis guineensis (African oil palm)
Lineage: Eukaryota; Viridiplantae; Streptophyta; Magnoliopsida; Arecales; Arecaceae
Description: long non-coding RNA (EGUI_LNC011070)
Source: RNAcentral
GCGCUGGUGCUAGGAUGUCGAUCCUUCCACACUCCUCCGCUCUGAACACGUGUCACAUCAGCCUCCACAUGUGAAGCCACCUCUACCUGGUGCUCCACUUAAAACCAAAGUCCACCUGACGCCGCAGAAGAUCCCGACUCUAUCCCUAAGUCACCCAAGGCUAACCACUCAGUGCUGCCCUGCUGAGCCUGCUGCUGUGCCUCAAACACCUUCGCUAUCCUUU